UGUGAAAAGUAUAAGUCGUAACAAGGUUUCCGUAGGUGAACCUGCGGAAGGAUCAUUGCCGAAUCCUACGAUAGUAGAAUGACCCGCUAACAUGUAAAAAACAUUGGGCAAGCAUCGGGGGGGCCUUGCGUCCCCUGUUUGCAAACCCAAGGUAGGUGUCCCCCGACACCAGCCAACGAAAUCAACCGGGCGCUGAAUGCGUCAAGGAAGUUAAGAACGAAUUGUUCGUUCGCUUCUCCUUUGCGGGAAGCGGCGUCAGUCCGAACCACGAACGACUCUCGGCAACGGAUAUCCCGGCUCUCGCAUCGAUGAAGAACGUAGCGAAAUGCGAUACUUGGUGUGAAUUGCAGAAUCCCGUGAACCAUCGAGUCUUUGAACGCAAGUUGCGCCUGAAGCCAUUAGGCUGAGGGCACGUCUGCCUGGGUGUCACGCAUCGCGUUGCCCUUGACCAAACAUCUCUUUAGGAGAUUUUCUGGUUUGGGGUGGAUUUUGGCCUCCCGUGCCUUGUAGCAUGGAUGGCUCAAAAAUGAGUCUUUGGCAAUGGAUGUCACGACAUCGGUGGUUGUAAGAAGACCUUCUUGUCUUGUCGUGCAUGCCUGUUGCCUUAGAUAGCUCAAGGGCCCUUAGGUGUCACAAAAUAUGUGCGCUUCGACAGUGACCCCAGGUCAGGCGGGACUACCCGCUGAGUUUAAGCAUAUCAAUAGGGGGAGGGA
Molecule: unclassified non-coding RNA, 713 nt
Filed under: Elaeoselinum garganicum
Lineage: Eukaryota; Viridiplantae; Streptophyta; Magnoliopsida; Apiales; Apiaceae
Description: Thapsia garganica sequence contains 18S rRNA gene, ITS1
Rfam family: 5.8S ribosomal RNA (bases 274-429)
Source: RNAcentral